This is a long non-coding RNA of Zea mays, 1075 nucleotides long. RefSeq lists it as uncharacterized. The transcript is spliced from 2 exons. NCBI's taxonomy places the organism in Eukaryota, Viridiplantae, Streptophyta, Magnoliopsida, Poales, Poaceae. The record is from RefSeq and is a predicted model, not a curated record.
UUCGACAUAGCCACGAAGACAAAUAAGUUGUAGCCGUACUGAGCAGAUGUAGUUAUUGUAAAGUAUGGAUAAAUGUCGACCAUGUCAACUAGAUUAUGACAUAUUUAUUAUUUGGGUCCAAGAAAUAUCCUAGACUUUAGAUAUCAAAACUCUAGUAGAGUAUAACACACAUUGAAGAGCUAGCUCCAAUAUAGAUAUAGAAAUAUUGUAACGUAGAUACUGAUAAAAUAAAGAACACUAGAAAAUAUUUUCUGACAUAAUAUCUUUAAUUAAAAACCUUAUCAUUUCGACAUAGCCACGAAGACAGAUAAGUUGUAGUCGCACCGAACAGAAGUAGUUAUAGUAAAGUAUGGAUAGAUGUCGACCAUGUCAACAAGAUUAUGACAUUUAUUAUUUGGGUCGAAGAAAUAUCCUAGACUUUAGAUAUCAAAAUUCUAGUAGAGUAUAACACACAUUGAAGAGCUAGCUCCAAGCCUCCAAUAUAGAUAUAGAAAUAUACGCACGUAGAUACUGAGAAAAUAAAUAACACUAGAAAAUAUUGACAUAUUUAUUAUUUCGGUCUAAGCUAUUUAAGAGAUGACCGUGACUCAAGGUAUCAAUACAUUAAUUCCAGACAAUGGGUUCCUCUAUAAAUGUACCUAAACACACUGAAAUAGAUUAGGCAACAAGCAAUACAUCGAUCAUCACGUCUUCUCUGCCUUGCCAAAACUAAAGGAAACAACAGCAGCAUGGCAAGGAUUGUGCACUACUUGAUGGCUACUUCGUUGGUGGUUCUUGUGAUGAGUACUUCCAACUCUAUACACUGUCAAGCCGGCUUGUCUUCGCGUGGGCCACCUUGCUUCGAGCCUCCGACUCACCGCUGUAAGGACGGCCGCAGCUGCGUGUUUGUUUGCCAGUAUAACGGAAUCAGAACCUAUAGGGCAUUCUGUAAAACACCUACAAAUGCUCAGGAGACCUAUAUGUGCUGCUGCCCACCAUAGAUUUGAAUGGUGUAAUUAACAAUUAAUGCAUCCAGCAUGUACUGGUGCAAAUUAAUAAAUGAAAUCUGCAAAUCCAUCAUUUGUUAGCAAUCUUC